RNAcentral lists this ribosomal RNA (253 nucleotides) under uncultured bacterium. RNAcentral's name for it is "partial 16S ribosomal RNA". It matches the Rfam family "Bacterial small subunit ribosomal RNA", at positions 524 to 776 of the family's 1533-position model. The record is from RNAcentral.
UACGUAGGCAGCGAGCGUUGUUCGGAGUUACUGGGCGUAAAGAGUGCGUAGGCGGUUUUCUAAGUUUGGUGUGAAAUCUCCCGGCUUAACUGGGAGGGUGCGCCGAAGACUGGAAGGCUUGAGUAUGGGAGAGGUAAGCGGAAUUCCUGGUGUAGCGGUGAAAUGCGUAGAUAUCAGGAGGAACACCUGCGGUGUAGACGGCUUACUGGACCAUAACUGACGCUGAGGCACGAAAGCGUGGGGAGCAAACAGG